UUAAUCAUGAGUCGCGAACGGGUGAGUAACGCGUAGGUAACCUGCCUCAUAGCGGGGGAUAACUAUUGGAAACGAUAGCUAAUACCGCAUAACAGUAUUUAUCGCAUGGUAAAUGCUUGAAAGGAGCAACUGCUUCACUAUGAGAUGGACCUGCGUUGUAUUAGCUAGUUGGUGGGGUAACGGCUCACCAAGGCCUCGAUACAUAGCCGACCUGAGAGGGUGAUCGGCCACACUGGGACUGAGACACGGCCCAGACUCCUACGGGAGGCAGCAGUAGGGAAUCUUCGGCAAUGGGGGGAACCCUGACCGAGCAACGCCGCGUGAGUGAAGAAGGUUUUCGGAUCGUAAAGCUCUGUUGUAAGAGAAGAAUGUGUGUGAGAGUGGAAAGUUCACACAGUGACGGUAACUUACCAGAAAGGGACGGCUAACUACGUGCCAGCAGCCGCGGUAAUACGUAGGUCCCGAGCGUUGUCCGGAUUUAUUGGGCGUAAAGCGAGCGCAGGCGGUUUGAUAAGUCUGAAGUAAAAGGCUGUGGCUUAACCAUAGUACGCUUUGGAAACUGUCAAACUUGAGUGCAGAAGGGGAGAGUGGAAUUCCAUGUGUAGCGGUGAAAUGCGUAGAUAUAUGGAGGAACACCGGUGGCGAAAGCGGCUCUCUGGUCUGUAACUGACGCUGAGGCUCGAAAGCGUGGGGAGCGAACAGGAAUAGAUACCCUGGUAGUCCACGCCGUAAACGAUGAGUGCUAGGUGU
This 750-nucleotide ribosomal RNA is filed under the name Streptococcus sp. 282. RNAcentral's name for it is "bacterial SSU rRNA". It matches the Rfam family "Bacterial small subunit ribosomal RNA", at positions 85 to 823 of the family's 1533-position model. Lineage: Bacteria; Bacillati; Bacillota; Bacilli; Lactobacillales; Streptococcaceae. The record is from RNAcentral.